Long non-coding RNA from Bufo bufo (common toad), 314 nucleotides. RefSeq lists it as uncharacterized. The transcript has 3 exons. NCBI's taxonomy places the organism in Eukaryota, Metazoa, Chordata, Amphibia, Anura, Bufonidae. The record is from RefSeq and is a predicted model, not a curated record.
CUGGAGCCUGACUCCUCCCACACAUGAUCACAUGGUCGUGACAUCAUGAAAGGUCUUUUAGCCCAAUACUCUUCCACCUUCCACAUGCAUGCAGUGUCCAGCGGUGCCAGUGGAGGUUCCUACAAUAUAGGAUCCGCUCAGUGGAUAUCUUCUAUAUAAGACCCUUCUGAUUGACCCAUCAAGGAUGGACAGGGACAAGAUGGCGGAGAGUAUAAUAAAUCUCACCCUAGAGAUCCUCUUCCGGCUUACUGGAGAGGACUACACAGUAGUGAAGAAGACCUCUAGUGAGCACUGUCAGGACCCUGUGUCUGAAG